CAUAUACUCCCCCCGUUUCGAAUUACUUGUCUUAGAUUUGUCUAGAUACGGAGGUAUCUAGCACUAAAAUGAGUCUAGAUACAUCCGUAUCUAGACAAAUCCAAGACAAGUAAUUUGGAACGGAGGGAGUAUAUA
Molecule: non-coding RNA, 135 nt
Organism: Triticum urartu
Lineage: Eukaryota; Viridiplantae; Streptophyta; Magnoliopsida; Poales; Poaceae
Source: Rfam